UACGUAGGGGGCGAGCGUUGUCCGGAAUCAUUGGGCGUAAAGCGCGUGUAGGCGGCCCGGUAAGUCCGCUGUGAAAGUCCAGGGCUCAACCCUGGGAUGCCGGUGGAUACUGUCGGGCUCGAGUCCGGAAGAGGCGAGUGGAAUUCCUGGUGUAGCGGUGAAAUGCGCAGAUAUCAGGAGGAACACCGAUGGCGAAAGCAGCUCUCUGGGACGGUACUGACGCUGAGGCGCGAAAGCGUGGGGAGCGAACAGG
RNAcentral lists this ribosomal RNA (253 nucleotides) under uncultured bacterium. RNAcentral's name for it is "partial 16S ribosomal RNA". It matches the Rfam family "Bacterial small subunit ribosomal RNA", at positions 524 to 776 of the family's 1533-position model. The record is from RNAcentral.